RNAcentral lists this ribosomal RNA (420 nucleotides) under Triticum aestivum (bread wheat). RNAcentral's name for it is "partial small subunit ribosomal RNA". The record is from RNAcentral. Lineage: Eukaryota; Viridiplantae; Streptophyta; Magnoliopsida; Poales; Poaceae.
AUGGCUCCUACUGAGGCUGAGGCUGAUGUAGAGGAGGGAGAAGAGAAGAAGAAGAGGGAAAGGAAAGCAGCCGGAGCUGCUUUCACGUGGAUUCAAACUCACUUUGCGACGUGCCCUCCGGAUGCCACUGAUGAUGUGAUCCAGACACAUGCUCGUGUCUACAUGUGGUAUGUUGUGUCGAGGACUUUGUUUCCUGGCUCCACUGGCAAGAACGCUCCAUGGAUGUGGCUGAAGGCGUUGACCGUCUUCGAUAGCAAAUGGAGCUGGGGUUCAGCGACUCUUGCCUACUUGUACCGACAGGUAGUUGGUCUGUUUUGUGAUCAACUCAUUUCUUCAUUAGCAAUGCAAGCUUGCUGUCAAGUUAACAUUGUUUUUCUUUCAUAUGCAGCUGGACGAUGCGUGUUGCAGGAUCACAGAUAG